Molecule: ribosomal RNA, 465 nt
Filed under: uncultured bacterium
Lineage: Bacteria
Description: partial 16S ribosomal RNA
Rfam family: Bacterial small subunit ribosomal RNA
Source: RNAcentral
GACGAACGCUGGCGGCGUGCUUAACACAUGCAAGUCGAACGGAAAGGCCCCUUUGGGGGUACUCGAGUGGCGAACGGGUGAGUAACACGUGAGUAACCUGCCCUUGACUUCGGGAUAACUUCAGGAAACUGGGGCUAAUACCGGAUAGGAAUCCUUGCUGCAUGGUGGGGGUUGGAAAGCUUCGGCGGUUUUGGAUGGACUCGCGGCUUAUCAGCUUGUUGGUGGGGUAGUGGCUUACCAAGGCUUUGACGGGUAGCCGGCCUGAGAGGGCGACCGGCCACAUUGGGACUGAGAUACGGCCCAGACGCCUACGGGAGGAAGAAGUGGGGAAGAUUGCACAAUGGGCGGAAGCCUGAUGCAGCAACGCCGCGUGCGGGAUGACGGCCUUCGGGUUGUAAAACGCUUUCAGCAGGGGCGAAGCUUGUGGUGACGGUACCUGCAGAAGAAGCACCGGCUAACUACGUG